This 365-nucleotide ribosomal RNA is filed under the name uncultured bacterium. RNAcentral's name for it is "bacterial SSU rRNA". It matches the Rfam family "Bacterial small subunit ribosomal RNA", at positions 954 to 1317 of the family's 1533-position model. The record is from RNAcentral.
GCAUAACGCGAAGAACCUUACCAGGCCUUGACAUGCAGAGAACUUUCCAGAGAUGGAUUGGUGCCUUCGGGAACUCUGACACAGGUGCUGCAUGGCUGUCGUCAGCUCGUGUCGUGAGAUGUUGGGUUAAGUCCCGUAACGAGCGCGAACCUUGUCCUUAGUUACCAGCACGUCAUGGUGGGCACUCUAAGGAGACUGCCGGUGACAAACCGGAGGAAGGUGGGGAGUGACGUCAAGUCAUCAUGGCCCUUACGGCCUGGGCUACACACGUGCUACAAUGGUCGGUACAGAGGGUUGCCAAGCCGCGAGGUGGAGCUAAUCUCACAAGACCGAUCGUAGUCCGGAUCGCAGUCUGCAACUCGACU